GAAUCUGCCGAUAGUGGGGGAUCUGCGGGGAAACCCAGGCUAAUACCGCAUACGUCCUACGGGAGAAAGGGGGCUCCGGCUCCCGCUAUGGGAUGAGCCUAUGUCGGAUUAGCUAGUUGGUGAGGUAACGGCUCACCAAGGCCACGAUCCGUAGCUGGUCUGAGAGGAUGAUCAGCCACAUCGGGGACUGAGACACGGCCCCGAACUCCUACGGGAGGCAGCAGUGGGGGAAUAUUUGGACAAUGGGGGCAACCCUGAUCCAGCCAUGCCGCGUGUGUGAAGAAGGCCCUCGGGUUGUAAAGCACUUUCCCCAGGAAUAACGCCCUAGCGGUUAAUACCCCGCUAGGAAAGACAUCACUCGGCAGAAGAAGCACCGGCUAACUCCGUGCCCAGCAGCCGCGGUAAUACCGAGGGUGCAGGCGUUACUCGCAAAUUACUGGGCGUAAAGCGCGCGUUAGGUGGCUUGAUAAGCCGGGUUGUGAAAGCCCCCGGGCUC
This 496-nucleotide ribosomal RNA is filed under the name Vreelandella aquamarina. RNAcentral's name for it is "bacterial SSU rRNA". It matches the Rfam family "Bacterial small subunit ribosomal RNA", at positions 122 to 610 of the family's 1533-position model. The record is from RNAcentral. Lineage: Bacteria; Pseudomonadati; Pseudomonadota; Gammaproteobacteria; Oceanospirillales; Halomonadaceae.